RNAcentral lists this long non-coding RNA (463 nucleotides) under Hordeum vulgare. RNAcentral describes it as "long non-coding RNA (HVUL_LNC003104)". Lineage: Eukaryota; Viridiplantae; Streptophyta; Magnoliopsida; Poales; Poaceae. The record is from RNAcentral.
CGUGUGCAACUAUGUGUACUACCACUCUCUCCGGUUCGCGGAGCAGCACGGCAUCAAGUCUCUGUUUGUGCAUGUGCCCCUCUUCUCGACAGUCGACGAGGAGGUCCAGAUCCAUUUCGUCGCUUCCCUCGUCGAAGCUCUCGCUAGCCUGAACUAGGAAAGGACAACUUAAAAGGUGGGUUUUACCUGGUCCUUCGAUCCCCAUUUUGUUACCAAGAGCUGGCUGGCUAAAUGAUUGAAAUCCUUGUCCUGUUUUCAUUGCCUGUAGGUCAGCGGCUUGACCUGGAAGAUGUAAAGUUGGACGCAGACUGAAUAAAAAUUGUGUGGUGAUUGGCGCCUAUUGGUCAGAUCUUGCUCCAAAGAAGGGUGUAUUUAAGGGGAGAGAAAAAGGAAAAAAAACGAUGCUCUAGAGUGUGUGUGUGUGAAAUGCCGGCUUGCAUGCCAUCAGUUACAUGUCCUUAAC